Long non-coding RNA from Hydractinia symbiolongicarpus, 2750 nucleotides. RefSeq lists it as uncharacterized. NCBI's taxonomy places the organism in Eukaryota, Metazoa, Cnidaria, Hydrozoa, Anthoathecata, Hydractiniidae. The record is from RefSeq and is a predicted model, not a curated record. The transcript is spliced from 2 exons.
AUUUUUGAUAAGACGCUGAAUAAAAGAAGUUUAAUCGCCGGCAAAAGAAAACCCACAAUUUCCCGUAAAUCCGGUACUCGACCUGUAUAGUCAAAAGUAUACAAAGAAAGUACUCAAGGAGUAAACUCAUUUCCCUAACGAUUUUUUAAAUUAUUUUUUCACCACUUAAACGCAUGAGACUUGUAGUUUUCAAAAAUGUUUUCAUUUUUGAUGAGACGCUAAAUAAAAGAAGUUUAAUCCCCGGCAAACGAAAACCCGCGAUUUCCCGUAAAUCCCGUACUCGGCCAAUAUAGUCAAAAGUAUACAAAGAAAGUACCCAGGGAGUAAAUUUAUUUCUCAAACGAUUUUUUAAAUUAUUUUUUCACCACUAAAACGCAUGAGACUUGUAGUUUUCAAAAAUGUUUUCAUUUUUGAUGAAACGCUAAAGUAAAGAAGUUUAAUCGCCGGCAAACGAAAACCCGCGAUAUCCUGUAAAUCGCGGACUCGGCCCGUAUAGUCAAAAGUAUACAAAGAAAGUACCCAGGGAGUAAAUUCAUUUCCCGAACGAUUUUUUAAAUUAUUUUUUCACCACUAAAACGCAUGAGACUUGUAGUUUUCAAAAAUGUUUUCAUUUUUGAUAAGACGCUGAAUAAAAGAAGUUUAAUCGCCGGCAAACGAAAACCCACGAUUUCCCGUAAAUCCGGUACUCGGCCCGUAUAGUCAAAAUUAUACAAAAAAAGUACUCAAGGAGUAAACUCAUUUCCCUAACGAUUUUUUAAAUUAUUUUUUCACCACUUAAACGCAUGAGACUUGUAGUUUUCAAAAAUGUUUUCAUUUGUGAUGAGACGCUAAAUAAAAGAAGUUUAAUCCCCGGCAAACGAAAACCCGCGAUUUCCCGUAAAUCCCGUACUCGCCCCAUAUAGUCAAAAGUAUACAAAGAAUGUACCCAGGGAGUAAAUUUAUUUCUCAAACGAUUUUUUAAAUUAUUUUUUCACCACUAAAACGCAUGAGACUUGUAGUUUUCAAAAAUGUUUUCAUUUUUGAUGAAACGCUAAAGUAAAGAAGUUUAAUCGCCGGCAAACGAAAACCCGCGAUAUCCUGUAAAUCGCGGACUCGGCCCGUAUAGUCAAAAGUAUACAAAGAAAGUACCCUGUGAGUAAAUUUAUUUCCCGAACGAUUUUUUAAAUUAUUUUUUCACCACUAAAACGCAUGAGAUUUGUAGUUUUUAAAAAUAUUCUCAUUUUUGAUGAGACGCUGAAUAAAAUAAGUUUAAUCUCCGGCAAACGAAAACCCGCGAUUUCCCGUAAAACCCGUACUCGGCCCGUAUAGUCAAAAGUAUACAAAAAAGUACCCAGGGAGUAAGCUGAUUUCCCGAAUGAUUUUUUAAAUUAUUUUUUCACCACUGAAACGCAAGAGACUUGUAGUUUUUAAAAAUGUUUUCAUUUUUGAUGAGACGCUGAAUAAAAGUAGUUUAAUCGCCGGCAAACGAAAACCCGCGAUUUCCUGUAAAUCCCGGGCUUGGCCCCAUAUAGUCGAAAGUAUACAAAGAAAGUACCCUGUGAGUAAACUGAUUUUCAGAACGAUUUUUUAAAUCAUUUUUUCACCACUAAAACGCAUGAGACAUGUAGUUUUCAAAAUUGUUUUCAUUUUUGAUAAGACGCUGAAUAAAACAAGUUUAAUCGCCGGCAAACGAAAACCUGCGAUUUCCCGUAAAUCCCGGACUCGACCCGUAUAGUCAAAAGUAUACAAAGAAAGUACCCAGGGAGUAAAUUCAUUUCCCGAACGAUUUUUUAAAUUAUUUUUUCACCACUAAAACGCAUGAGACUUGUAGUUUUCAAAAAUGUUUUCAUUUUUUGCGAAGCAAUUGAGCUUUGCGAGCGAAGCGAGCGAAGCGAAAUUGUGGAGCACGUUUGCUACACGCGAGGUAUACCAAGAGAAUUAUUGAGAUUCUCAAAAUUUCGAUAGAAAAAAAAUCAUAUAAAAUCAGCGUAAAGAAAUAGGACUGAUAUUUUUGCACAUAAAGCUAGGGUAUUUUUUUUUCUAAUAAAACAAAUAAGUUUGGACCGAGGGGUUAAAGUAUAAGUUUAGUAAAAAAUGCAAUAAGUACGGCUCGUACCCCCCCACCCCCGGAUUUUGACCCCCCCCCCCGUCUUUUGGUCCGGAUUAUACGUCCGCCGAACUUGAACACACAAAGAGGAAUAUGCCGUAAACAAGAAACGGUAGUCGGCAUUUUAGACACGUAUAUUUUACAGACCCAAAAUAUGCCUUAUUUCUUUGUAUUAUAGCUAAUUAUGGUAUAAAUAAUUAAUUAAUUACUUUGCAAUUUUGCUUCUAAUACUAUUAUAGUUGUAUUUUAAUGAAACAUAAUAGUAUUAAAACGGUUUUCUUCUUUUGAAAAAAUUUAUUGCUAGUCCUGUUUCUAAUCGACUUUACUUGUGUAUUUUAAGCUUUUUUGUUGCUGUGCUUUUUCUGGAGAUUUUAGUUGGAUUGGAAAGCUCCUGUGUAAGGUACCCUUUCCUAAAGAAAAAUUGAAGUAAUUUGUACAAUUAUAACGCGCCGAGCUGUGUUUUAUUUUAUUGUUUCUAAGAAAAUGUAAGAAUACAAUAUUAUCAAUUUUAAUUGGUUUUAUCCAAAUCAAGAUUGUGUACAAUGGGAGUGAGUGAUGUAAUCUUCUAAUGCGUGUGGUGAAAAGAAGGCGAAUCCGUUAUUGUUUUUCUGCCCAAAUUUGAAGCUAUUUAAUAAAUCUUGAUAAAGUUAAAAAACUGUUUUGA